AACUUAUUAUUAUUAAAAUGAUCUGAACUGUUUCAAAGACCCAACAUGCAUUUUUUUUGCAUUGGGCUCUUUCAUUAACUGAUAUUUAUAGCAGUUAGUCUGCCAUUUUUUUUCUUGACAGAAAAAAAGAUAAGGAAAUGGCUCCAUGUGCUCUGAUUCAUUAUUUGGGAGCAUUACCAAAGUGUUUCAAAGGUGGGAUUAUCUUGACGUAGGUCUGUCUCUGGCCUAAAUAAACCUAAGUUAAACAUAAUUGUAUAAAUUCAGUUCAACAGAAACCAAUUUCAAAACAGCAAAUCCUCCAAAGAAUCUUAUACCUUAUAACCAUAUAUUAAAAUAUUAGCACAAAAAUAAAAAUAUCAGAUCAUACCUUUGUUUGUUAGAUCGUUUAGUUUUGGUGUUGAAUCCAUUAGCUAUUGCAUAUCUUGCCAUAACUGCAACCAAAGUUUGCUUAUCAUUAUAAAGCUGAUCAACCUUUAUUUCGGUGUUCUUGCAGUCAGUAAUGAAGUUUUUCACUUCAAAUUCAGGAACGUAUAAUGCAUACUGAUUUUGCGUUUCAACGACCAUUACCGCAACUGAAUCAUAUUCACUAUCUUCAAUACAAAGUACAACCCCUAUUUUUCUAUCAAACUCGAUAUCCUUAUUCGACUUGUCGAAAGCGGAAAUACACAACGGAAAUACACAGUAAAAAAUUAACCAAUCCAGAAAAUUAUUUCUUCAACUCAAUGUAAACUCUCACUCCAUUGUACUUCCUUAUGUUAAUUAAAGAAGAAUUACCUUCAACAAUGUAUUUAACUUCAAUUUUUUUACGUACUUCAUCAAUAUUCAAUUUCAUGAAGAUCGUAGAAAUCAAUUUCAAGAAAGUUACUUUUCGAAACAAUAAUUGCAUCACUUUUGUACGAUUGAUAACCGAUUUGCGACUUCCAGAUACCCGAAUAUAGCAACAAUAUGGUAAUGUUCAUAUUUAUUAUUUAGAGAACAGAAGAACGCAUAUGAAGAAACUUUUUUUUUCCCUGAUUGUAAAUCUACAAAGAAGAAGACUUUAUUGUGAUGUUUAAAAAAAUAUUAGAAUUUAAAUUUCAGUACUAUAAUUACUCAUACACUACAUAAUGUUAACUAAUUAAUGGCGGGGUUAAUUAAGGAACAGUAAGAUACUAUCUGAUUUAUCUUACCUUAAAUAUAGGAUUAACAGUUUUAUCAUACAUUCCAACUAUAUAUGAGAGAUGUCCGAAUGUAUGAGUAUAUUUACAAAAUCUGAGAGAGAAAGCCUGAAGGAAUUUUAUGUAAUUACUUUGUCUAGGGAGGGGAUUUAUAUAGUUUAUAAAUAUUAUUUCAUGAACAUAUUUGAUUUCAUUAUUGGAUUGUAUCAACAACAUGUUUUCUCAGAUGAGCAAUUGUACGUGGCCCUUUCAAGAGGAAUAUCAAUGGCCAAAAUAAGAGUUUUGGUUAUGAAAGAACAACCAGAUCGGAAGUCAGAAACUCGGAAGACAGAAACAUACAUGAAAUAUCGUCCAUAAGGAAGUAUUAGAUGAGAUAUGAUAUCUAACAUAUUUCAAAUUAAUCAAAUCUAAAUAAAUAUAUAAAUUACAUGUAUCUUAUUAUAAUUCCAUUAUGUUGAUUUUAUAGGAUCAGGUCUAUAAGAUGAGACAUAACUUUCCGCAUUCAACUUUUCCAAAAUGUAUCUAUUCUUUAAAUUUUUUGCAACUAUAUAAUGAUAUCAUCAUUUUCCUUAGUAGGCAGAAAAAGGCACCAAUUUAUUAUUUUGUGAUGAAUUAUUUAUUCAAAAGAUUGGUCAAAUUGAAUCAACAAUACAACAUAUCAAAAGCAAAAAAAAGUAACGUCCCUGCAUAAGCAUAGCCACGACUUCAAUGCAUCCUCUUCAAAAACAAAACAACCAUGGCAAUUCAAUGUCAAUAUCCAACUCGCUAAACUAAAAUUGUUAGUUAUAAAUGCUACUAUACAUUACUAUCAUCCACGGUUUAUCACCUACAGAAUUUACUUCAGAUUUUAUUUAUUAUCCAACUUAAAUUAUGUGCUAAGUAUUUCGCACUACACAUUGCACAAACCUAGCCUACUUUUGCUCUUCCAGUAUGAACUUAAUUCAUAUUAGUACUAUAGAUGAUUACUUACGUAAUAUAUUAUAGAUAUUAAGUUCUCAUUCACAUUCAUAGGAUCAAUUAAUUAAAUAUAUUUAUGGUCAAACCUUGCCUUAUUAGAAGUCAUCAUAAUUAAUGACAACUAAUACUUUUUCAUUAGUUUAAGAAUUAUAAAUCAACAAAAUAUGAUUUUAAGAACAUUUAAAAAAUUUAGAAAUAAAUAUAAAAGUGUUGAAAUAAAAAAAAUUAAGAAGUACCACAUUUUUAAAAUUUUCAAUACGCAAUAAGAAUGUAAUCAAUGAUUUUGUAAAGAUUUGACUUUAAAAAUAAGAGAAGAUUUAAAAUAUAGGAAAAAAAAUUGUACCACAAAUAUGUGUCUCUCUCAGCCGCCCAUAGCAAGGAAAAUAGGUAUUGAAUGACAAAACGGAAAAUUGAUGAUCCGUCUACCACUUGAAACAUCUGGCGGUAAAAUAUAUAUAUAUGUUUAUACUAAAAUAUAUGUUUUUUUAAUAUUAUUAUAUUAAAGUGUGAAACAUCUCUAAAAAAAUGUUUUGAAUUGUUUACACUUCAUUAAAAAUCUCUAUAAUAAAUAAAAUUAUUUAGUUUUAAAUAAACAGAUGUUACACAUGCGAGGCACGUGUGAUUACACCAGCUUUAGCUUAUUUUAAUUUUUCAAAUAACUUCACUAAGCUCAGCAAUAUCACGUCUCCACAUCUUGUAUUUCGAUCCUAAUAAAUCAUAUACCGACAUAAUUUUUCUCACCCUCCCAUGUAAUUUAACAAUUGGUGAUCGUUUCCUAUGUAUUUUUACUAAAAUUUACACAUAUACACUAAAUAAAAAAAUUUUAUUACAUAAUAUACUAAUUUGGUAAAGUAUUUACACAUAUCCCAAAAUAUUUAUACAAAUUCCUUUAUUUUCAACUUUCUCUCUCUUAAACAUUAUAUAUCUCUAAAAAGGUUUUCUCUUCCGUAUUUUACUCCCUCAUAUCCUCCCACAACACACGAUAUUUACUCCAUAAUUGAAUCCCCUUAUUCUCAGCAAAAUUCAAGAAUCGUGUAUCUGGGAGUUACAAUUUGUAAGUUUGAAGAUUUUUUUUUCUUUUUUUUUCAACUUUUUCAAUUUUUGAAAUUGACCGUAUAUUUUGUUGUCGUGGCAUGUUUGUUUUUACCUUAUUUUGCAAGUAUUUUCAAGUUUCGUAGUUUGAUUUUUAUGUUUUCUUCAUAUAAUACAUUUUCGAUUCUUGGUUUGUAGAUUAUUUUUUUUCAAAUUUACCUAUUUUUGUAUUUUUUAGUUUAUUUUAUGAAUGCAUGUUUGGUUUUAAGGAUUUACCACAUUUUUGCAAGUAUUUUCAAGUUUCGUAGUUGAUUCGGGUUAAUUGAAUUACUGAAAAAAAUUGCUAAUGGAUUCUAGUCCUAGCUUUAGUUUAGGACUUAAGUCAGUUAGAUUCUAAAAAACAAGAUAUACCUGUUGGGUUUGUUCCUGGUAUAUUUCAUUUUGAAGAACCCGAUUUCUCAAAGAAUCGUUCAAAGCAUCGAAAUGACCCCACAACAAUGAAGAGAUUGAAGAUAGCGGUCACUUCCAAAUCAAAGAAAUCAAGUUCAAAAACGGCCAGUAAGAAGAAGUUUGAUGAUUCCGGUAGACCACGUCUUCCGAAGGUAUUGAUUAAACAUUAUACUUUACUUACGUUGCAACAUUAUUGUAUAAUAUAGUGGAACAUACAAUUUUGUGCAGCACUAAUGUAUAAUAUUACUAUUAUGUUAUACAUUUCAUUUUUUUAUACAUUGGAUGUUUUUAUUACAUAUAAGAGGCAUUUGAAACUGGGUGUGUUAUUAUACAUUUAUGAAGUUUUCGUUUUGUAUAAUGUUCUAUUAUACAUUCUGACAACAUUACAUGUCAUAUAUGUUUAAGAUGAAAUGUUUAAUCUGACAUUAUACAUUGUAUAUAUUUGAUUAUUAAUGUGUAAUGUUAUUACAUAAAUCUUUUUAUACAUUGCUUUCCAUACUCUUAUUAUACAUAAAAGGUAUUGUAUGAUUUAGUUUAUAUUAUACAUUUAGUGAGUUUUCAUAGUGUAUAAAAUGACAUUAUACAUCUGAAUAACUGAUAUGUCAUACAUGCUUUUAAUGAGAACUAUUUUAGUAUGCAACAUUAUACAUUAGUGCAUCUAAAACAUGUGUAACUUUUCCUGUAAUUAUUAUAUAUUUUCUUAUUUCAGGGCAUGAAAUACCGUAUAGAUAAAGUCCCGGAGCACUCUUCGCAUAUUUUGAGCUUAUGCAACCGUGGUUUUGCUACAGAAAUAAAAUCUUAUUUUGGAGAAGAUAUUUUAAAGGCAUUUAGAAAUACGUUAUUUGGGAUUUUUCUUGACCUUCCGCAGUGCAACUGGAUUGGGCAGAUUUCAAAAUGUAACCUUAUACGAGAAAUCCAACAAGAUAUUAAGGAUGAGAUACAUGUGUGUGUGCAGGGGAAAAUUUUAAAAUUUACAAUGCUUGAAUUUGUCAUUAUCACCGGUCUGAAAUACACCGGUGAUAUUGAUGAGUUUAUGUAUACAUCAUCAUCAAAAUCCCCUUUGAUGUCGAAGUAUUUUCCUGAAUCUAGAGGUGGUAUAACUAGGUCAAAACUGAUAACACGUGUGAAGAUGGAAAAUUUAGAGAACUCUGAAAAUUCUUUGAACCUUGCGAUAUUAUAUUUUUUUUAUACAUUCAUGUUAUCUCAGCAUAAAGAAGCACCAAUCAGUUUAGCUCACUUCCAAAUGAUCGAGGAUGGUCGGUACAUACACUUUCCAUGGGGAAAGAUAACUCUUGAAAAGUUGAUCAACUCGUGGCGGCAGGAUUUCAAAGUCGUAAAGAAGUUAUAUUCUUUGAGUGGAAUGCCCCACGCUCUAAAUAUUUGAAUAUUUGAGUGUUGCUCUGCGGUAGAUAAAAAACUGUUUUGCGACAUGAAAACAUCAUCCCAAGAAUACUUAAUUGGUCUAUUGAGUGUACAAGGCCUAAGUAUGAAUCUUUUAUGUCUGACAUGUUCAGUAAGGUAAUUGUAUAACAUGUUAAAUAUUUUUAUUUUAUACUCACUUUAUCAAAGUUCUAAUAUUUCAUUUUGAAAAUAAUUUUGUUAGUGUUUUUUCAAGAAUUUACAGCUUACAAACGAAGAAGUUCGUACUUUAGAUAUGUCUUUCUCUGAGGAUUUUGUGAUUUUUGAUCCAAUAUUUGCUGCUUCCACUUCUGUUAGUGCAAAAAUGCAAACAGAAAGCGAUGAAGAUCAAUCGCGUGUUGUCACUAGAAAUGACGACUAUGAUGAUUUCACCACUGUACCUACUCAGGAAUUUCUAAGAAAGGCUCGUUUGACUAAACCUAUAUCAACUGAACAACCAUCCAAAAGAAGAAAAAUAGUUAUGUUUCAGGAGUUAGUCUAGCUGCGACAGAUGGAUAGAAAUCAACAAGUUCUCAUUCAGUACAUCAUGUGUCUGAUAUGUUUUCUAAAAAAAAAUUACAAUUAAUAGAUAAACUACAAAUUCGUGUGACUGAUUUUGAUCAUCGUCAUCCAGUAGAAAUCGGUGUGUCUCCUAAGUGCGAACAACUCAAGUCUGUUCCUUUGUCUUCCACAACGCCUGAAGGGACUUCUAAGUCUAAUUUAGAUAUGGAGCAGAUAAAGAGUUACAUCAAAACAUAUGUAAGUUAAUUUUCUUAUUCACAAAUUUUAAUUUUAAAAAACUAUUACUUGUUUCUAAUAGCUUAUUGUUUAUCUGUACAUUAUAAGGUGAAUGAAAAAAUUGCUGAGAUGAAAACACUAAUCUCCAAUAUACCUGAUGAGGUCGUUAAAGCAUUGAAGAAAGAAGAUAAUAAAGAAUCUUCAGUAUAAAAAGAAUUUUCAUUCAAAUUUUUAAUACUUUGAACAAAUACUCAUACAUUAGUAUUAGAGAAAAUUGUUCAUCAACAAAAAGGUGCAGAAGAAGGAUAAAAAAUAAAUGUUAGUGUUUAUAAGAAUGAUUUGUCAGUAAUGUUAAUCUAAAUUAAAUUGGCAUGUUACCAUAAAUCUGUAUAUCUCCAACAUCUUAACUUAUUUUUAUUUGGUUCUUAUACAGCAUGAAGAUGAGUACACGGGACCAGUCAUUCACAUAACAAAUGAUGAACCAUCAGUACUUGAACCUUUUGAAACAGAGAUCUAAGAUUGUGUCCACAUUCAUACUGAAUGUCCAACAAUAGCUGAGGUUCAAUUCGAUCAGAAGGUAUAUAUAUGAUAUCCAUAAAUAUGGUUAUACAAUGUAGAUAUCAAAUUAUAAAAAUAUUUUCAUUCAUCAUUAUAUAAAUUUGAUUAAAUCCACAAACAUUCACUUGUCAAUAUUUUGUAGGAUGAGCAAAUGAAAGAUCAAGAAGAGGGACAUGAAGAAGAAUCGAAAAACAUGCACAUUACUGAUAUGGAAAAUAUAUCGGUACAUUUUGGUCUAUCAUGUUGGUUUGUUCUUGGAUGAAUAUCAAUAUUUUAAAACGCUUUACUUGUAGGCUGUUACAGAAUUAUUACACAUACAUUUGAAUGUAUAUUGAUAUGUUAUACAUUAUUAAUACUAAUAGUAUAUUUCAGAAAAAGAAUGUUCUUUUAUUUUGAGACUGUUUCAGUAUAAUUAUACAUUUGAGUGUAUAACAUUAUGUUAUACAUUAAAUUAUCAUAUAACAAAUACAUAUGGAUUUGUUAUACAUAUCAAUUUUAAAUCACCGGUGCAUAUUUUUUUCAUUCAACUACGUAUCACUUUGACUAAGCUUUUAUGGAUGAUGCUUGUUACUGAAUGUAGGAAGAGCAUAAUGAUGCAAUAGAGGCAGGUUGUACUGAAGAUCCGAGCAUAUAGCAUAGCCCUCAAAUGAAACAUUUAGAGGUAUUUUUUUGAUUGUUCAUAUUUUUUAUUAACUCAAAACUUACAUGCUUAUACAUUCACAUCCAUGCCAACUACAUAUCAAAUUUUAUAAAAAGGUUUUCAUUCACCAUUGUAUGACUUUUCAAAUUACUAUUACAAAAUUUUUUUCUCUUGCACUAUAUCUUACUUGAAUAAUUUGCACUGUAAUACUAUCUUAUUUUGAUAUUGUCUUAGUUUUAUUAUACAUUCAUUUGAAUGUAUAACAUUAUGUUAUACACUGAAAUAAAUUUAAAUACAUGAUGAUUGUUACUGAAUGUAGGAUUAGCAUAAUGCUGCAAUAAAAGCAGGUUGUACUGAAUAACUAAGCAUACAUUUAGAGGUAUUUUUUUGUUGUUCAUGUUGUUUAUCAACUCAAAACUUACAUGCUUAUACCUUCACAUUCAUGACUAAUAGAUAUCAAAUUAUAUAUAUAUCUUUUCAUUCAUCAUUGUAUAGCAUUUAAAAUCACUAUUACAAAAUUUUUUCCUCUAGAACUAUGUCAUACUUUGAAUUAUUUGCAUCGUAAUGCUAUCUUAUUUUGAGACUAUCUCAAUUUCAUUAUACGUUCAUUUGAAUGUAUAACAUUAUGUUAUACAUUAAACCAGCAUAUGAAAACUACAUGUGAAUUUGUUAUACAUAUCAAUUUUAAAUGUAUAACAGUACUUUAUACAUUCAUAAAGAUUAUUAUACAUUCAUAUUCAAUUUUUAUAUAUAGAGAUUACAAAAUACCUUGACAUAUUUAUUUUCUUACAUAAUGAUUUUGAUUACAAUAGGAUGAGUAUAUUGCCGCAAAAGAAUCAUGUUGUGCUGACGAAUUGAACAAACAUCAAAGUACUGAUAUGAAAGAUUUGCAGGUAUUUUUUUGACAAUUCAUAUGUUGUUUUUUAACUAAAAACCUAUCUAAAUUAACGUACCUGUUGUUUAGGUAUCACUAUCAUUAAAUAUUAAUAUGUUUGAUUUUACACAUAACACAUCAAUCUUUAAUCUGUAGGAUGAUGUGAAUGCCACACUAACGAAGUCUGUUCAAGAUGCUUUAGAUGCACUAAUAUUUAGGUUGUCAACACCUUCGAAUACAAAUAAAUUCGAUGUUGUUACACCAAAUUUAGUGACGGAAAGCCAGUGAUCACUUCCAGAUAGUCAGUUUCCACCUGACUUUCCUGAUGCAUAAGAAAGGGAGCUUGAAGCAGCAAAAGCACGUGAAGUAAAACAGAAAUCACCUGUAAAAAAAGACAGAAAAAAGUCAAAGAUUUUUAGGUCACCAUAUAUCACAAAAUUUGGAUCGAGCUCUAAAGAUGAGGGCAGCUCUGAUAAUGAAGAGAAGCAGAGGUAUGCUUUUGAUAGUUGUACCAUUAUCGAAGACUUGCCUAAUUAAUUGAUCAAUGAUUAUUCACAGUGGCUUGAAAUUGGGUUACUAAAAUAUCAUGCUUCAAAGUAAGUUAUUUAGAAAGAUUACUAAAUUAUUGAAAAUAGUACAUAAGAAUAAAACUUGGUUAAGUCUAAUGCUUGUUUAUGUUACACGAAACAAACAGACAA
This 8502-nucleotide long non-coding RNA is filed under the name Capsicum annuum. RNAcentral describes it as "long non-coding RNA (CANN_LNC007820)". Lineage: Eukaryota; Viridiplantae; Streptophyta; Magnoliopsida; Solanales; Solanaceae. The record is from RNAcentral.